UUAGUCGACACCUAGUUCCGACUCGUCCAUAUUUUGCAGGCUUUUUCGAUGUCGACUAACGUUCUGGAUGAUCGUAUAUGGUUCGGUACCCGGCGCCUCCACCAAAAACCGGCGGUCUUAAAGGCCGGCUUUUGAUGGGGGCGAAACAGGAUCGACAAGGGUGUAAAGAUCGUCUUUUUGCUCGGCAUUGUACCGCCGUUAUCGGGCUAAAAUUGUAGUUGCAAACGACAACUAUGCGGAAGCUCGUCUCGCUGCUUAAUCGCGGUGUGACACUUCAAUCAAAGUCCUAGUGGUUCGCACCUCUAGGCGGGGUCCGAAGGCACCUGGCAACAGAAGCCUUCACC
Molecule: transfer-messenger RNA, 344 nt
Filed under: Rhizobium leguminosarum bv. viciae
Lineage: Bacteria; Pseudomonadati; Pseudomonadota; Alphaproteobacteria; Hyphomicrobiales; Rhizobiaceae
Rfam family: Alphaproteobacteria transfer-messenger RNA
About the family: Bacterial tmRNA, also known as 10Sa RNA or SsrA, is named for its dual tRNA and mRNA-like properties. Its role is to liberate the mRNA from a stalled ribosome. To accomplish this part of the tmRNA is used as a reading frame that ends in a translation stop signal.
Source: RNAcentral